Molecule: ribosomal RNA, 253 nt
Filed under: uncultured bacterium
Lineage: Bacteria
Description: partial 16S ribosomal RNA
Rfam family: Bacterial small subunit ribosomal RNA
Source: RNAcentral
UACGUAGGGUGCGAGCGUUGUCCGGAAUUAUUGGGCGUAAAGGGCUCGUAGGCGGUUUGUCGCGUCGGGGGUGAAAUCCACUGGCUUAACUGGUGGCUUGCUUUCGAUACGGGCAGACUGGAGGCAUGCAGGGGAGAACGGAAUUCCUGGUGGAGCGGUGAAAUGCGCAGAUAUCAGGAGGAACACCUGCGGUGUAGACGGCUUUCUGGACCAUUGUUGACGCUGAGACACGAAAGCGUGGGUAGCAAACAGG